AGAGUUUGAUCCUGGCUCAGGAUGAACGCUGGCGGCGUGCCUAAUACAUGCAAGUCGAGCGAACGGACGAGAAGCUUGCUUCUCUGAUGUUAGCGGCGGACGGGUGAGUAACACGUGGAUAACCUACCUAUAAGACUGGGAUAACUUCGGGAAACCGGAGCUAAUACCGGAUAAUAUUUUGAACCGCAUGGUUCAAAAGUAAAAGACGGUCUUGCUGUCACUUAUAGAUGGAUCCGCGCUGCAUUAGCUAGUUGGUAAGGUAACGGCUUACCAAGGCAACGAUGCAUAGCCGACCUGAGAGGGUGAUCGGCCACACUGGAACUGAGACACGGUCCAGACUCCUACGGGAGGCAGCAGUAGGGAAUCUUCCGCAAUGGGCGAAAGCCUGACGGAGCAACGCCGCGUGAGUGAUGAAGGUCUUCGGAUCGUAAAACUCUGUUAUUAGGGAAGAACAUAUGUGUAAGUAACUGUGCACAUCUUGACGGUACCUAAUCAGAAAGCCACGGCUAACUACGUGCCAGCAGCCGCGGUAAUACGUAGGUGGCAAGCGUUAUCCGGAAUUAUUGGGCGUAAAGCGCGCGUAGGCGGUUUUUUAAGUCUGAUGUGAAAGCCCACGGCUCAACCGUGGAGGGUCAUUGGAAACUGGAAAACUUGAGUGCAGAAGAGGAAAGUGGAAUUCCAUGUGUAGCGGUGAAAUGCGCAGAGAUAUGGAGGAACACCAGUGGCGAAGGCGACUUUCUGGUCUGUAACUGACGCUGAUGUGCGAAAGCGUGGGGAUCAAACAGGAUUAGAUACCCUGGUAGUCCACGCCGUAAACGAUGAGUGCUAAGUGUUAGGGGGUUUCCGCCCCUUAGUGCUGCAGCUAACGCAUUAAGCACUCCGCCUGGGGAGUACGACCGCAAGGUUGAAACUCAAAGGAAUUGACGGGGACCCGCACAAGCGGUGGAGCAUGUGGUUUAAUUCGAAGCAACGCGAAGAACCUUACCAAAUCUUGACAUCCUUUGACAACUCUAGAGAUAGAGCCUUCCCCUUCGGGGGACAAAGUGACAGGUGGUGCAUGGUUGUCGUCAGCUCGUGUCGUGAGAUGUUGGGUUAAGUCCCGCAACGAGCGCAACCCUUAAGCUUAGUUGCCAUCAUUAAGUUGGGCACUCUAAGUUGACUGCCGGUGACAAACCGGAGGAAGGUGGGGAUGACGUCAAAUCAUCAUGCCCCUUAUGAUUUGGGCUACACACGUGCUACAAUGGACAAUACAAAGGGUAGCGAAACCGCGAGGUCAAGCAAAUCCCAUAAAGUUGUUCUCAGUUCGGAUUGUAGUCUGCAACUCGACUACAUGAAGCUGGAAUCGCUAGUAAUCGUAGAUCAGCAUGCUACGGUGAAUACGUUCCCGGGUCUUGUACACACCGCCCGUCACACCACGAGAGUUUGUAACACCCGAAGCCGGUGGAGUAACCUUUUAGGAGCUAGCCGUCGAAGGUGGGACAAAUGAUUGGGGUGAAGUCGUAACAAGGUAGCCGUAUCGGAAGGUGCGGCUGGAUCACCU
This 1540-nucleotide ribosomal RNA is filed under the name Staphylococcus aureus. RNAcentral's name for it is "16S ribosomal RNA". It matches the Rfam family "Bacterial small subunit ribosomal RNA". The record is from RNAcentral. Lineage: Bacteria; Bacillati; Bacillota; Bacilli; Caryophanales; Staphylococcaceae.